Molecule: non-coding RNA, 1752 nt
Organism: Cinara cedri
Lineage: Eukaryota; Metazoa; Arthropoda; Insecta; Hemiptera; Aphididae
Source: the annotation of a GenBank genome assembly
GUUUAUUAGAAUAAUAAUAAAUUCAUUGAGUAACGUGUAAUUAAUGGUAAUUCAACAUUUUUUUCGAUCUAAAUAUGUAUACCGAAUGCGGUACAAUUUUCACUACUCCAGACACUUAGUUUCACGAUACGUAGUGAAUAAAACCGAAAUUUUCUUCGGUAACAAAAGUUACCGAUUAUUCACGACUAUAUACGGACCGCUGUUACGUAUCUUUUAUCUUCGUCCGGAUAACUAGGAUUCCGGGGAUCGUCUCAGUUAUCUCGAUAUUUUACAAUUUACCAUUGUACGACAAUAGCGAUAACCGUCGGGCCACACGGUGCCGGGCUCCGCGAUACAUUUCGGUCGCGGAAGGUUCGGCGGGGCGUUCGUUAUAGAAUUCAAGCGAUUCCCAUCGCGCCGGACGGACGUAUCUACUGAAUUUCAAUUACGAUUCAACGUUUAAUAAUAAUUUCCAUUUUCAUUAUACUUCAUAUUCGCCGCGUCGUCUCCGCGACAUCAUUUAGACAUUCCUGGGCGAUUGGCAAAAUAUCGACAGGCCCCUUGGUUUUUACACGGAUACCUAUAUUGUGUGGUGUGCGCGCGCGCGUGUGUAUACAUAUAUAUUUAUACCGUUCAUUCGGGAAUGCGUGUCGCCACCGCGGCAAUAACGCGUUCAAGCCGUUCGAGAUGCGAUGGUAUUUAUAGACGCGGUUCGGAAUUUGACAAAAACGAACCAUAUUAUAUUAUUAUAUAUAUAUAUGAACCUACACAAGGCGAUAUUUCAACCGGAUGUAUAUUUUUUUUUUUUUUCGGAUAUUACGACGAAUUUACGAAAUGCGUUUAUUUUUUAUUUUAUUUUAUUUUUUUCCCAAGACAAUACAUGUUUUUAAUUAAUCGUACGGAACCGUCAUCGGGUACGGCGAUCACGGCGCAAUCAAUUUCGGGAAUCCGUGAAUACGUAUUUUUACGCGGGACAGAUAUUAUUUGUUAUUCCGGUCUCCGCCGUCCAACCAAUCGAGACGAGCGCCUGGUUUACGGAGGUGUUUAUUUAUUUGUAUUACCGUGUCCGAUUGUUUAGUACUGGCGAAACGGUUACCGUUAUCGUAUCACGGUCGCCGGACCGCGAUUGAAAAAUAACUCGCCAUCGCGGUAACGCGACUUUUGCGGUUCUGUUUCCUUUGUCUUCCGUCGCUAUAAUAUGAUUAUUACGGCGUGGUUAUGGUUUUGUUUUCGCGUGUCGGAAAUCACGCGAGAAACACACAAGAUUUGAACUGUCUAAACAUUUCGCGUGGUUGACCACACCCCGCUCACGGCCGUGGCUGCGGUACGCUAUGAAAACGUGCCACGAAACGGACGUGUCCCGAAACCGUAACUAACCGCACGGUGCUAAACUUGCGGAUAAACGCCAGCAAUUCGUAUAGAGAAACUGUAAAUGUGACACAUUUUUUCGACGUAUGCCGAUUUGGCAGCGGCAUAUUCGGCGAUAAAGACAAACGUCCGUUGCACGUUGAAAAUCAUUCCCGUUGGUUAAUUUAAGGUAAAAUAACAUAUAAUUUAACACAAUAUUACGCAUGGCCACCUGUGUAUGGUAUUGAGGUGUUUAAAACAAUCUGGUAAUGCCAUAAUAUUGUUCACAAUUAGUUUUCGUUACUGAAUUAAUGUUUUUGAUUUUCCAAUCGAAAACCGAAUUGUCGUACAUGGGUCGCAGUAACGGAUGGCCAACAGAUACUGUUUUAUUGAAAUUUGGUGACGUUCUUUUGUCGCUUCAUCAUG